Molecule: ribosomal RNA, 497 nt
Filed under: uncultured bacterium
Lineage: Bacteria
Description: partial 16S ribosomal RNA
Rfam family: Bacterial small subunit ribosomal RNA
Source: RNAcentral
GAUGAACGCUGGCGGCGUGCCUAAUACAUGCAAGUCGAGCGAACAGACGAGGAGCUUGCUCCUCUGACGUUAGCGGCGGACGGGUGAGUAACACGUGGAUAACCUACCUAUAAGACUGGGAUAACUUCGGGAAACCGGAGCUAAUACCGGAUGAUAUAUUGAACCGCAUGGUUCAAUAGUGAAAGACGGUUUUGCUGUCACUUAUAGAUGGAUCCGCGCUGCAUUAGCUAGUUGGUAAGGUAACGGCUUACCAAGGCGACGAUGCGUAGCCGACCUGAGAGGGUGAUCGGCCACACUGGAACUGAGACACGGUCCAGACUCCUACGGGAGGCAGCAGUAGGGAAUCUUCCGCAAUGGGCGAAAGCCUGACGGAGCAACGCCGCGUGAGUGAUGAAGGUCUUCGGAUCGUAAAACUCUGUUAUUAGGGAAGAACAAAUGUGUAAGUAACUGUGCACGUCUUGACGGUACCUAAUCAGAAAGCCACGGCUAACUACGUG